Molecule: ribosomal RNA, 872 nt
Filed under: uncultured bacterium
Lineage: Bacteria
Description: bacterial SSU rRNA
Rfam family: Bacterial small subunit ribosomal RNA
Source: RNAcentral
AGAGUUUGAUCAUGGCUCAGGACGAACGCUGGCGGCGUGCCUAAUACAUGCAAGUUGAACGCAACAUAAACACCAGAGCUUGCUCUACCGUUUAUGUUGAGUAGCGAACGGGUGAGUAACGCGUGGGUAACCUGCCUUAUAGCGGGGGAUAACUAUUGGAAACGAUAGCUAAUACCGCAUAACAAUGUUAGAUGCAUAUUUAACAUUUGAAAGUACCAAUUGGUACACUAUGAGAUGGACCCGCGUUGUAUUAGCUAGUUGGUAGUGUAAUGGACUACCAAGGCGAUGAUACAUAGCCGACCUGAGAGGGUGAUCGGCCACAUUGGGACUGAGACACGGCCCAAACUCCUACGGGAGGCAGCAGUAGGGAAUCUUCGGCAAUGGACGAAAGUCUGACCGAGCAACGCCGCGUGAGUGAAGAAGGUUUUCGGAUCGUAAAACUCUGUUGUUAGAGAAGAACGUUGAUUAGAGUGGAAAAUUAAUCAAGUGACGGUAUCUAACCAGAAAGGGACGGCUAACUACGUGCCAGCAGCCGCGGUAAUACGUAGGUCCCGAGCGUUGUCCGGAUUUAUUGGGCGUAAAGCGAGCGCAGGUGGUUUAAUAAGUCUGAUGUAAAAGGCAGUGGCUCAACCAUUGUGUGCAUUGGAAACUGUUAGACUUGAGUGCAGUAGAGGAGAGUGGAAUUCCAUGUGUAGCGGUGAAAUGCGUAGAUAUAUGGAGGAACACCGGUGGCGAAAGCGGCUCUCUGGACUGUCACUGACACUGAGGCUCGAAAGCGUGGGUAGCAAACAGGAUUAGAUACCCUGGUAGUCCACGCCGUAAACGAUGAGUGCUAGUUGUUUGGGGCUAUCCAGCCCUAAGUGACGCAGCGA